This 212-nucleotide ribosomal RNA is filed under the name uncultured bacterium. Its description in RNAcentral is "partial 16S ribosomal RNA". It matches the Rfam family "Bacterial small subunit ribosomal RNA", at positions 939 to 1154 of the family's 1533-position model. The record is from RNAcentral.
AUGUGGUUUAAUUCGAAGCAACGCGAAGAACCUUACCAGGUCUUGACAUCCAACUAACGAAGUAGAGAUACAUUAGGUGCCCUUCGGGGAAAGUUGAGACAGGUGGUGCAUGGUUGUCGUCAGCUCGUGUCGUGAGAUGUUGGGUUAAGUCCCGCAACGAGCGCAACCCUUGUCAUUAGUUGCUACGCAAGAGCACUCUAAUGAGACUGCCG